RNAcentral lists this small RNA (356 nucleotides) under Arabidopsis thaliana (thale cress). RNAcentral describes it as "ATSL289430". Lineage: Eukaryota; Viridiplantae; Streptophyta; Magnoliopsida; Brassicales; Brassicaceae. The record is from RNAcentral.
AAUUCUAUUUCCAAAAAUCUUGCUGUAGAAUUUAUUGAAAAAAAAUCAAUGGUUACAAUUAAUUCAAUCGAAUGGCCAAGAUUAUAACGUAUGACCCAAUAAUUGUAAACCCGAGUCAUAAGGAUCCGCGUGUUUUUUAAGUGAAGGCGAGAGAUCAGACGGUCACAAACAAUUCAAUCGAAUGGCCAAGAGUAUAACGUAACUUAAGUGAUUCUCAGUAAAAGGUAAACUUUUUCAUGACAUUAAUAUUUUAAACAUAUGAUUUAAAGGUAAAAAAAAUUUUAACCGAGAAUCACUUAACGUACGUCUCAGUAGAUGAUCCAAAGCCAGCAAUUGGGUUGCAGAUUUUGUUUCUC